GGGUAUAGUUCUUCGGAAUUAGAGACCGGCGCACGGGUGCGUAACGCGUAUGCAAUCUACCUUUCACAGAGGGAUAGCCCAGAGAAAUUUGGAUUAAUACCUCAUAGUAUAUCGAGUUGGCAUCAACAUGAUAUUAAAGUCACAACGGUGAAAGAUGAGCAUGCGUCCCAUUAGCUAGUUGGUAAGGUAACGGCUUACCAAGGCAACGAUGGGUAGGGGUCCUGAGAGGGAGAUCCCCCACACUGGUACUGAGACACGGACCAGACUCCUACGGGAGGCAGCAGUGAGGAAUAUUGGACAAUGGGCGCAAGCCUGAUCCAGCCAUGCCGCGUGCAGGAUGACGGUCCUAUGGAUUGUAAACUGCUUUUAUACGAGAAGAAACACCUCUACGUGUAGAGACUUGACGGUAUCGUAAGAAUAAGGAUCGGCUAACUCCGUGCCAGCAGCCGCGGUAAUACGGAGGAUCCAAGCGUUAUCCGGAAUCAUUGGGUUUAAAGGGUCCGUAGGCGGUCAGAUAAGUCAGUGGUGAAAGCCCAUCGCUCAACGGUGGAACGGCCAUUGAUACUGUCUGACUUGAAUUAUUAGGAAGUAACUAGAAUAUGUAGUGUAGCGGUGAAAUGCUUAGAGAUUACAUGGAAUACCAAUUGCGAAGGCAGGUUACUACUAAUAUAUUGACGCUGAUGGACGAAAGCGUGGGUAGCGAACAGGAUUAGAUACCCUGGUAGUCCACGCCGUAAACGAUGGAUACUAGCUGUUGGGAGCAAUCUCAGUGGCUAAGCGAAAGUGAUAAGUAUCCCACCUGGGGGAGUACGUUCGCAAGAAUGAAACUCAAAGGAAUUGACGGGGGCCCGCACAAGCGGUGGAGCAUGUGGUUUAAUUCGAUGAUACGCGAGGAACCUUACCAAGGCUUAAAUGUAGAUUGACCGGUUUGGAAACAGACUUUUCGCAAGACAAUUUACAAGGUGCUGCAUGGUUGUCGUCAGCUCGUGCCGUGAGGUGUCAGGUUAAGUCCUAUAACGAGCGCAACCCCCGGUUGUUAGUUGCCAGCGAGUCAUGUUCGGGAACUCUAACAAGACUGCCAGUGCAAACUUUGAGGAAAGGUGGGGAUGAACGUCAAAUCAUCACGGGCCCUUAAGCCUUGGGG
RNAcentral lists this ribosomal RNA (1144 nucleotides) under Flavobacterium sp. Its description in RNAcentral is "bacterial SSU rRNA". It matches the Rfam family "Bacterial small subunit ribosomal RNA", at positions 66 to 1214 of the family's 1533-position model. The record is from RNAcentral. Lineage: Bacteria; Pseudomonadati; Bacteroidota; Flavobacteriia; Flavobacteriales; Flavobacteriaceae.